GAUGAACGCUGGCGGCGUGCCUAAUACAUGCAAGUCGAGCGAACAGACGAGGAGCUUGCUCCUCUGACGUUAGCGGCGGACGGGUGAGUAACACGUGGAUAACCUACCUAUAAGACUAGGAUAACUUCGGGAAACCUGAGCUAAUACCGGAUAAUAUAUUGAACCGCAUGGUUCAAUAGUGAAAGACGGAUUUGCUGUCACUUAUAGAUGGAUCCGCGCCGCAUUAGCUAGUUGGUAAGGUAACGGCUUACCAAGGCAACGAUGCGUAGCCGACCUGAGAGGGUGAUCAGCCACACUGGAACUGAGACACGGUCCAGACUCCUACGGGAGGCAGCAGUAGGGAAUCUUCCGCAAUGGGCGAAAGCCUGACGGAGCAACGCCGCGUGAGUGAUGAAGGUCUUCGGAUCGUAAAACUCUGUUAGUAGGGAAGAAGAAAUGUGUGAGUAACUAUGCACGUCUUGACGGUACCUAAUCAGAAAGCCACGGCUAACUACGUG
RNAcentral lists this ribosomal RNA (497 nucleotides) under uncultured bacterium. Its description in RNAcentral is "partial 16S ribosomal RNA". It matches the Rfam family "Bacterial small subunit ribosomal RNA", at positions 28 to 507 of the family's 1533-position model. The record is from RNAcentral.